CAGUAGCUGGGACUGCAGGCACAUGCCACCACGCCCAGACGUGGGCAACUCCCAAGUUUUCCAUCUUCACUCCACUCCUCAACUGAGUUGCAGGUUGCCUGUGCUGCAUGGAAGAACAGUUGACUUUGCUGAUAGGAAACGUCUCAUUGCAUCCUCUUUCCACACCAUCUGUCUGACCUGGACCCAUUCCAAACACUACGGCUUUGCUGGCAGAAUGGUCUUCCUGCUACAGAAGUUUUGUAAUCUGCUAAUUGACAGGGGACAUCGUCUCACUAUAUUGCCCCAGGCUGGAGCAAAGUGGGGCUAUUCACAGGUGUGAUCACAGCGUACUACAGCCUCUAACUCCUGGGCUCAAACGAUUCUCUGCCUCAGCCUCCCGAGUAGUCAAUUAUUUUUUUCUACAGGUGGGCUGAGGACAGAAAAAUCCUAAAGAUGGAAGUAUCAUUAAAAUCGUGC
This 456-nucleotide long non-coding RNA is filed under the name Pan troglodytes (chimpanzee). Its description in RNAcentral is "lincRNA". The record is from RNAcentral. Lineage: Eukaryota; Metazoa; Chordata; Mammalia; Primates; Hominidae.